AACGAACGCUGGCGGCAUGCCUAACACAUGCAAGUCGAACGAGACCUUCGGGUCUAGUGGCGCAUGGGUGCGUAACGCGUGGGAACCUGCCCUUAGGUUCGGAAUAACCCCCCGAAAGGGGUGCUAAUACCGGAUAAUGUCUUCGGACCAAAGAUUUCUGGUCUUUGGAUGGGUCGGGGUUGUAUUAGCUUGUGGGUAGGGUAAAAGCAUACCAAGGCUAUGAUCCAUAGCUGGUCUGAGAGGAUGGUCAGCCACACUGGGAGUGGGACACGGCCGCGACUCCUACAAACAUGCCCAAUAACUAAUAUUACACCAUCACGGAAGGCCUGAACCACCAAUGCCGCGUGAGUGAUGAAGGCCUUAGGGAUAUAAAUCUCUUUUAUCCACGAUUAUAAUAACAUUCCCCUAAUAAUAAUCACCGGCUAACUCCAUG
RNAcentral lists this ribosomal RNA (433 nucleotides) under uncultured bacterium. RNAcentral describes it as "partial 16S ribosomal RNA". It matches the Rfam family "Bacterial small subunit ribosomal RNA", at positions 29 to 507 of the family's 1533-position model. The record is from RNAcentral.